AUGAAGAAGCUCCAUACAGAUGGACUUUUGGAGUCUCUUGAUUUUGAAUCAUUUGACACGUGCGAACCAUGCCUCAUGGGUAAAAUGACCAAGACUCCGUUCUCCGAAACAAUGGAGCGAGCAACCAGCUUAUUGGAAAUCAUACAUACUGAUGUGUGCGGUCCAAUGAGCGUUGAGGCUCGCGGAGGCUAUCGUUAUGUUCUCACCCUCACUGAUGACUUGAGUAGAUAUGGGUAUGUUUACUUGAUGAAACACAAGUCUGAGACCUUUGAAAAGUUCAAGGAAUUUCAGAAUGAGGUAGAGAAUCAACGUGACAGAAAAAUAAAGUUCUUACGAUCAGAUCGUGGGGGAGAAUAUUUAAGUCACGAGUUUGGUACACACUUAAGGAAAUGUGGAAUUGUUUCACAACUCACGCCGCCUGGAACACCUCAGCGUAACGGUGUGUUCGAACGUCGUAAUCGCACUCUAUUGGCUAUGGUGCGGUCUAUUAUGUCUCUUAUCGAUUUACCACUAUCAUUUUGGGGAUACGCUUUAGAGACAGCUACAUUCACUUUAAAUAGGUCAUCGUCUAAAUCCGUUGAGACGACACUGUAUGAAUUAUGGUUUGUAAAGAAACCUAAGCUGUCGUUUCUAAAAGUUUGGGGAUGCGAUGCUUAUGUCAAGAAACUUCAACCUGAAAAGCUCGAACCCAAGUCGAAAAAUGCGUCUUCAUAG
RNAcentral lists this ribosomal RNA (714 nucleotides) under Triticum aestivum (bread wheat). Its description in RNAcentral is "partial small subunit ribosomal RNA". Lineage: Eukaryota; Viridiplantae; Streptophyta; Magnoliopsida; Poales; Poaceae. The record is from RNAcentral.